GAUCCACCCCCAAAGGGAAAUGCCAACAGAAGAGCUUCUAUUUCUUGAAAGGAAAAAUGGAUUCCUUUUAGAGUCUAAUAAGCAGGAAUCUGGGCAGCUCUGGCUCUAUCCUACUAUGCAUUGUGAUGUUGGGGUAAGAUUUAAACUAUCAAAAUCCUAAAAUCAUCAUCCCAGAAAGGCAAACCUGGGGUGAAGUGUGACUGUUUAUCUCUUUAACUUGAAGACAUUUCAAGACACCUUCAUCCAUAUUUUCUUUUCUUUUUAAAUCCAUAUUUUCUUAAUCCCCAUAGUUUUCUUCCUCCUGGAAGCUAGGACUAAAGGAGACACUCUACUGGAAGAGUAACUACCCGGAGAGCGAAGGGACUGAGCAGGAACGAAGCGAAGAACUCGGGCCUGGCCAGGGAUGCUCCCGGUCUCUGCCUCCGGCGGGGAGCGCCCGGCAGAGCCGGACCAAGGCAGGAAGCAGGUUUCCAGCCGGAGCUGAGCCCGCUUCUUCCAAAGCCCUGUGGCUGCGCACCCCUGACGCUGCCUGAGUCCGGUCGGUGGCAGGUGCGGCGGGGGAGUCCCCGAAGGAGAAGGGGGCGGAGGGCAAAGGUCAAAGCCAGGCUUCCGGCGGGCCGGGGAGCCCACACCCAGGGCAGGAGGGAGGGGUUAGGGCGGGCCGGGGCCGAACUGAGCCCCCAAGGGCGGAACCGCGCCGACGGAGAGCAAACCCUCUGUUGUCUAAUCGAGAACCAGAUUAAGAGCCAAGGAGGAAAAAAAGGCAAGAAGGCGUUCUUCAGAUUGGAAGGAUCUAACUCAACACCCCAGUCUCCUGGCCAGUGGCCAAGGACACUGGUUCUUUUCAAGGCACCUUUCUACCUCUGGACCACCUCAGCCCUUGGAUUUAUGCGGUUGCUAGAAAGGUCUAGAAAGUCAAAGAUACAGAUACCCAUGCCGUCGAGUCUGAAGGCAGAAAGGGGUGCCCAGAUACUUCACUCAGUAACAUAGCAGACACUCGACCUUGAACACAGGUUUUCUACCGCUUGCGCCUUGGGGGCAGUCAACAAGGAGACAAACAGUUGGCAUAAGCUCCGAAAUUCCGAGUCUCCCCUGGCCCUCCCUUAAAUUUCCCUGACGCGCCAUUUCCCCUGAGCAGGCUCCCGGGUCAGUCACACACGCCUUGGUCAGCUUUGCGUCUACAGUCUGUCAUGGCCGGCUCUCUUUUCCCUGCAGGUCAGGAAGAGGCAUCCUGCAGCCAGUGAGGAAAUAGCCGGUUCAGAGUCCUCCACGGGGACAAGGACACAAUGUGAGCAGACUUCUAUUCGUUUUCAGGGUGAUGGGCCCAAGGGCCAGGGGCCCCAGACAAAUAAGGGGAGCGGGCUUGAAGGGUCCUGCACCUCCUGCCAGGGCAGGCCCACUGGAAGGAGGUGGGGAGCAAAUGCAGGGCUCCCACUGUGAAGCCAGGGCCUUGGGCAGGGCUGGGUGCCCGUGCCCAGUAAAGACAGAAGCAGAACAGAGUGUGAGAUGUGAGCCAGCUGAUGGCUUGACGCUGUCAGGACCUGGAGCAGGCAGAAAGAAGCCGGAUCUGCCUAUCUAGGAAAACUUUGCAGCCAGCAUCCAGGUUUGCUACAUCAGCCGCUUCACCCAAGUCACUGCCAGCUCAUAAAGUGCUUGCCAGACUCACUGGCUUUCCUCUCUACGAUGAUGCUGUUUUAUUAAACGUUGUUGAAGCUGGGGGAGGGCAGGGGGGGUCGCCGCAAGGUUGAGGGGAAGAAGCAGAGAGAGACAAGUCAGGGUGAAUUCCAUGUUACUGUUAUUUUCAAAAGGAGGCUUUCUCAGUUUUGCUUCCCUCAAGGCUGUCCCAAAAUUUGCUUAGGUGCAGGAUGGGUAGGCCCUGAUCAUAUGCAAGGUUGGAUUUAAAUGUACUGGAACUCUGUGUCUGUAUGUGUAUAGUCUUGAAGGAUCAAACAUACAGUUAACCCGCGUAAGUAUUCAUUAUAUCAGAGCAGAAACGUGGCCAACAGGUUCUAAGGAGGGCUGGUGUUCACAGUGUUUGGAGAUAUAUGUGAGAAGAUUGUGUUUUGCUUUAUGCAUACAUAUUUGCUUUGGCUGGUAAUCCUUCUGGAAGCCUGACCGUUUUGACUACGUCAGCGUGGAUCGCCUUGGGGGGUGGGAAGAAGUAUGCCAAGUUGCAAAGUGCGCUUAUGUUUUAAAAGGUGCUUCUCCCCAUGGCUGCCCUGCCAGGGGAUGGUAGGUUGUUUUCUGGAUACACUUCCUGUUUUUCCGGCUGACCCAAGUUCUCAGACAAUCCAGGGUGGGUCAGCAUCAGCUGGGCGGGGGGCGUCCCUGGGGGUCUCUGCACCUCAAGGUGGUGUCAUGGGUACAAGUUCUCCCCCAGGAGGGCCCAUCUGAGGGUCCCAGGCAAACAAAGCUGCCACUCCCAGGAGACCACUGCAGCCAGGCCCUGGGGCCUCCCUCCCCACUCCCCCCAGGACAGAUCAGGUCACCAAGUCCCCACCCACUGAUGCACCAGGUUCUCUCUGGGCCCACACUGAGCCAACAGGAUAAAAACCACCGCCUCCAGAUACCAACCUGGAUUAGACAGGCCUGGCCACAAAAGCCAGUGGAGAAAUUCAAGACCCUCUCCUCAAAAAUUCAGACAGGAGGGCCACCUGGAAGACGAACCUCAGGGACCCUCUGGGAUAGGGCUGCUUCUGGAAGCCCACUCCUGGGGUGGGGGCAGGGAGGGGUCCCACGAGCCGGUUGCUAACCUCUGAGCUGUGCACACUGGCCGGCUCCUGAGAACCUAAGCCGGAUCGUCAGUGACCCCUCGCCUCCCCCCCACCCCCCAUUUCCUGCGCUGGGAUCUCCCGCUGUUAGUCGAGCGUUUCCUGUGCCAGAGGGACUUCUGAAACCGCAAGCGGAAAUCGGGUGCCCGGCGGGGGAACGCAGAGGCGUUUCAGCGUCGCCUACGUUUCUGGCCCCUGGCAGCCAAGACCCCCGCGACCCGCCGGCUUCUCGGCCGGCGCCGCGACGUGUGGGGAACGACAAUUACACCCGAAAGGAAUCAACAACCACUCGCGGGGCCACGACUCGCAUCGCUCCGCACGCGCAGGUUCGGGCCCAGCUUUCAGCAACACCCACCCCAUCCGCUCCCGAUCGCUAAGCACUCGCUCGCCAUUUGUGGACUGCGAUGGAGCUGCGCUC
This is a long non-coding RNA of Cervus hanglu yarkandensis (Yarkand deer), 3189 nucleotides long. The record is from Ensembl. NCBI's taxonomy places the organism in Eukaryota, Metazoa, Chordata, Mammalia, Artiodactyla, Cervidae.